RNAcentral lists this ribosomal RNA (468 nucleotides) under uncultured bacterium. Its description in RNAcentral is "partial 16S ribosomal RNA". It matches the Rfam family "Bacterial small subunit ribosomal RNA", at positions 28 to 507 of the family's 1533-position model. The record is from RNAcentral.
GACGAACGCUGGCGGCGUGCUUAACACAUGCAAGUCGAACGGACAGGCCCUGCUUUUGUGGGGUGCUCGAGUGGCGAACGGGUGAGUAACACGUGAGUAUCCUGCCCUUGACUUUGGGAUAACUUCAGGAAACUGGGGCUAAUACCGGAUAGGAGCUCCUGCUGCAUGGUGGGGGUUGGAAAGUUUCGGCGGUUGGGGAUGGACUCGCGGCUUAUCAGCUUGUUGGUGGGGUAGUGGCUUACCAAGGCUUUGACGGGUAGCCGGCCUGGGAGGGUGACCGGCCACAUGGGGACUGAGAUACGGCCCAGACUCCUACGGGAGGCAGCAGUGGGGAAUAUUGCGCAAUGGGCGGAAGCCUGAUGCAGCAACGCCGCGUGCGGGAUGACGGCCUUCGGGUUGUAAACCGCUUUCGCCUGUGACGAAGCGUGAGUGACGGUAAUGGGUAAAGAAGCACCGGCUAACUACGUG